RNAcentral lists this ribosomal RNA (250 nucleotides) under uncultured prokaryote. RNAcentral's name for it is "partial 16S ribosomal RNA". It matches the Rfam family "Bacterial small subunit ribosomal RNA", at positions 524 to 773 of the family's 1533-position model. The record is from RNAcentral.
UACGGAGGAUGCAAGCGUUAUCCGGAUUUAUUGGGUUUAAAGGGUGCGUAGGCGGGCUGAUAAGUCAGCGGUGAAAGUUUGCGGCUCAACCGUAAAAUUGCCGUUGAAACUGUUAGUCUUGAGUGCAAACGAGGUAGGCGGAAUGUAACGUGUAGCGGUGAAAUGCUUAGAUAUGUUACAGAACUCCGAUUGCGAAGGCAGCUUACCGGCAUGCAACUGACGCUGAGGCACGAAAGCGUGGGUAUCAAAC